AAGAGACAGCAGCAGCCGCGGUAAUACGAAGGGUGCAAGCGUUACUCGGAAUUACUGGGCGUAAAGCGUGCGUAGGUGGUGGUUUAAGUCCGUUGUGAAAGCCCUGGGCUCAACCUGGGAAUUGCAGUGGAUACUGGGUCACUAGAGUGUGGUAGAGGAUAGUGGAAUUUCCGGUGUAGCAGUGAAAUGCGUAGAGAUCGGAAGGAACAUCUGUGGCGAAGGCGACUAUCUGGGCCAACACUGACACUGAGGCACGAAAGCGUGGGGAGCAAACAGGAUUAGAGACCCCGGUAGUCCCUGUCUCUUAUAC
This 310-nucleotide ribosomal RNA is filed under the name uncultured bacterium. RNAcentral's name for it is "partial 16S ribosomal RNA". It matches the Rfam family "Bacterial small subunit ribosomal RNA", at positions 503 to 807 of the family's 1533-position model. The record is from RNAcentral.